CGAUUUAGAAAUGGAAUCAGAUAAUGAAUUCUAUAAUAUAACAAAUGACUGAAACAGAUAUACAAAUAAUAAAUAAAGAAGAACAUCAAGACGAAAGAAUCUUUAGAACAAAAAAUAAUAUUUGAUAAUAGUAUAUUUGAACAAAUAAAAGGAAAAGAAUUAGACCUAAGCGUAGCAAAAAUAUUUGAAAUACCAACAAUAAGAA
Molecule: long non-coding RNA, 205 nt
Filed under: Solanum tuberosum (potato)
Lineage: Eukaryota; Viridiplantae; Streptophyta; Magnoliopsida; Solanales; Solanaceae
Description: long non-coding RNA (STUB_LNC007241)
Source: RNAcentral